This 226-nucleotide ribosomal RNA is filed under the name uncultured bacterium. RNAcentral describes it as "partial 16S ribosomal RNA". It matches the Rfam family "Bacterial small subunit ribosomal RNA", at positions 107 to 334 of the family's 1533-position model. The record is from RNAcentral.
UGAUAACACGUAUCCAACCUGCCGUCUACUCUUGGACAGCCUUCUGAAAGGAAGAUUAAUACAAGAUGGCAUCAUGAGUCCGCAUGUUCACAUGAUUAAAGGUAUUCCGGUAGACGAUGGGGAUGCGUUCCAUUAGAUAGUAGGCGGGGUAACGGCCCACCUAGUCUUCGAUGGAUAGGGGUUCUGAGAGGAAGGUCCCCCACAUUGGAACUGAGACACGGUCCAA